AAACAUGUCUUUUUGAGUUAUUUUUAAAGUCUGACCUGCCCACCGAAUAUUUAAAUGGCCGCAGUAUUCUGACUGUGCAAAGGUAGCAUAAUCAUUAGUCUUUUAAUUGAAGGCUGGUAUGAAUGGUUGGACGAAGUAUAUUCUGUUUCAUAUAAAUUUAUAAUUGAAUUUUAUAUUUUAGUUAAAAAGCUAAAAUUAAAUUAAAAGACGAGAAGACCCUAUAAAUCNUUAUAUUUAAUAUUGUUUAAAUUUUUUGGAUUUAUUUUAUUUUUAUUUUAUUAAAUAUUUUGUUGGGGUGAUGUUAAAAUUUAAUGAACUUUUAAUUUAUUUAAAUCAUUAAUUUAUGAAUUAUUGAUCCAUUAAUAAUGAUUAUAAGAUUAAGUUACUUUAGGGAUAACAGCGUAAUUUUUUUGGAGAGUUCAUAUCGAUAAAAAAGUUUGCGACCUCGAUGUUGGAUUAAGAGAUAACCUUAGGUGUAGCCGCUUAAGUAAAUGAGUCUGUUCGACUUUUAAAUUCUUACAUGAUC
RNAcentral lists this ribosomal RNA (526 nucleotides) under Hexachaeta sp. socialis group USNM ENT 00745889. Its description in RNAcentral is "partial small subunit ribosomal RNA". The stretch from base 393 to 526 matches the Rfam family "Bacterial large subunit ribosomal RNA", at positions 2473 to 2605 of the family's 2925-position model. Lineage: Eukaryota; Metazoa; Arthropoda; Insecta; Diptera; Tephritidae. The record is from RNAcentral.